UGCUUUAUAAUAGUGCAAACGUGCCGUUUUAGAAUCAACUGCGUUCGACGUGUUGUUUUUAAAGUUGUGGAUUUGAGAUUGAGACCACCGCGAGGCUCCAGUGCAGGUUUUCCAAGCAACACCUGCGAACCGAGAAAUUCAAUUAACAACUCCUCUUCCCACUUGGAGCCGGUCUCCAGGGCAGAUCUUCCGGGCGACUUGCCCCUGUAAGAAAUUAGAAAAAUGCUACAAUAAAACCCGAAAAAAAAAGAGUAAAAAAAAUAAUGUGGGAACUUAAAUAAUAAAAUCAUUCCCCACGUUAAACCGUUGAGAAGGUCUGCUUUUCAUCCGGGAGUCAGCGAGAGACGGAUAAGUAGCGCAGAUCAUUCAAGGAAACCCAUCUUCUAUAUUAAAAAUGCCACUGCUCGUACAACAUAAGAAAUCAGAUGGCAGCAGAGUGAACAUCAGCCAAAGGCGAUAAUUCCCAGAAGGAUCAGCUUCAACACAACUUUGUCCCCAGGAAGUGAAUCGCUCUGACCCAUACGAGCCGCAGUUUGACAAAGUUUCUAUAAAAUAUGAUGUAAUCCAGUCCACUGGGUGCAGCGGCUCCAUUAAACCUCGGAAAUGCGGCGUUCAUUAGUACCGAUGCUACAACAAGAUGAGGUGAGCCCCUCGAUGGAGUGACUCCCCAGGAAGAGAAAACGAGGUAGGACAAAUCCCCAACAUGACUGAUUACUGUCCCCACCAUCUCCCCUGUUCAUAUCUCCAACAAUAUCAGGCAUCUUCAUUAAUCCCCAUGGAUCAAUGUGUCUGGGGGUUGUAAAAAUUGACAAAUGACUUAUUAGAAUCCCACCGUUUUAUUUUCCAACUGAUUAACUCACAGCAAUGUUGUACACUAUACAGGCUCACUGAUGUAUCUGUUUUCCAAAGAGGGCCUCUCUUGCUUUCACUCGCGCUCUCUCUCUCUCUCUUUCUCUCUCUCUCUCUCUUUCUGUCUUCUCCUCUCCCUGUCUUACUAUGAGGAAUCUAUACUGAAUCCAAUGCACUCUGAACACAGUGUGUUAGAAAUGCCGCCAGGCUGAAAUGAUCCAAAACCCAGAACAAUGUACAGUUGACAUUAACAUUUCAUAUAGACACUAAUUGUUUGAAUUUCUGUUUCUUGACAGAAUAUGAUUAUUUAGCCAUUGCUUAGCUGAUUUGUAGUUCUAAAGGUAUAAAAAUACACAUAUUCACAUGAAUGGGUACAUUACAAAGCUGUAAAAGCUUUACAUUUCAAUUGAAAAAUACAAAAAAGCAACAGCAGCAUUGGCCUUGUUUCUCUGUUUGGAGCUUAUGUGCUGUGUUCUUGUUAUCUCAGUUGUUAAUUGUAACUUGACGCUCUUUUACGCCUGUUUUAUGUCUAGAUGUUGCUGCAGUAACAUCCCACAUUGUCAUCUUGACAAAAUAAUAUAAUGUUUCCACUAUAUGGCAUUUAUUACUGUAACAGACAUUAGACACAGACAUCUAAGUACAGAUGACAUCCACCAAAUUAACAAGAGUAUAAAACCUUUUGUUGCUGAUAAAAAAAAAAAAAAAAAAGAUCUGCCUCUGUACAAUUUGACUCUCGAGAGGACACUAAUGACUUGUGAC
Long non-coding RNA from Salarias fasciatus (jewelled blenny), 1608 nucleotides. RefSeq lists it as uncharacterized. Lineage: Eukaryota; Metazoa; Chordata; Actinopteri; Blenniiformes; Blenniidae. The transcript has 5 exons. The record is from RefSeq and is a predicted model, not a curated record.